UUCUAAAACAUUUGUGGUAUUUGUUGAACGUAAUUUUGCAGAAAAUGCUCUAAAUUUAUUUCUUUACUUUACUAACUUCGACUAAAAUAACUAUGACUUAAAAUUAAAUAUGGAAUCUUCACUAAUAAAUUUUAUUGCGCUGUAUGACUGUAUGCAAAACUUGUUUUUUGCUCGUUAAAUAUGUAGCGAUUAUACCAAAAGAUAAAUAAAUUGAGAUUUCAGAAUUGUGUCGAAAUAUUAGCAUCAGGUACUAGGAAACAAACUAAUCAAUGAAGAAAACUUGUUAUUGUAUUUUUAUCGUCCUUUCCUUCACCUUUGUUUGGAUUUGAACUGCAUAGAAGCACUUGAGGAAUGAGUGUAUGGAAAUCCCACAAUAUUGCAAUAUUAUAUCUGCAUCAAUAUUAUGAAAGUUUCAAUAAAUUCUAUAUCAAAACACUUAAGAAAUGAUAAAAAUACCAGCAAAGUAAAUAUUGAAUUUACGCCACGCCUUUACAUAGGUAGUAUAUAAGGAUGAACUUUCCAUUUUCUUAAAUAUAAUUUUAUAGAGCGAUAAAUUAAAACUCAGCGAAAAAAUGAUCAAGUUUCCAACUGUACUGGUAUUAGUAGUAAUACUCGCUCUUGUCAUGAGCACCAUAAAUGCACUGAUUGUGCAAUGCAGUACUACUGAUGAUUGUAUCCAGCAAUGUAAAAACUCUGGUUACAAUGGAAUCGAUAAUUCUGACUGUGAUUUGAAUUUUGAUUUAGGAUUAUAUUCAUGUCCUUGUGCAUAGAAUAAGCAGCCUAUAAAAUAGUUACCUACUGGCAAAUAACAUUUUUUGCAAAAUAUCAUAUUUCAUUAUGUAUACUUUGGGAGCGAUAGAAUUUGCAAUAUAUUUCUUAUGAACA
Long non-coding RNA from Dendroctonus ponderosae (mountain pine beetle), 885 nucleotides. RefSeq lists it as uncharacterized. The transcript is spliced from 2 exons. The record is from RefSeq and is a predicted model, not a curated record. NCBI's taxonomy places the organism in Eukaryota, Metazoa, Arthropoda, Insecta, Coleoptera, Curculionidae.